This 253-nucleotide ribosomal RNA is filed under the name uncultured bacterium. Its description in RNAcentral is "partial 16S ribosomal RNA". It matches the Rfam family "Bacterial small subunit ribosomal RNA", at positions 524 to 776 of the family's 1533-position model. The record is from RNAcentral.
UACGAAGGGGGCUAGCGUUGCUCGGAAUCACUGGGCGUAAAGCGCACGUAGGCGGAUCUUUUAGUCAGGGGUGAAAUCCUGGAGCUCAACUCCAGAACUGCCUUUGAUACUGGGGAUCUCGAGUCCGGGAGAGGUGAGUGGAACUGCGAGUGUAGAGGUGAAAUUCGUAGAUAUUCGCAAGAACACCAGUGGCGAAGGCGGCUCACUGGCCCGGUACUGACGCUGAGACGCGAAAGCGUGGGGAGCAAACAGG